GACGAACGCUGGCGGCGUGCCUAAUACAUGCAAGUAGAACGCUGAAGGAGGAGCUUGCUUCUCUGGAUGAGUUGCGAACGGGUGAGUAACGCGUAGGUAACCUGCCUGGUAGCGGGGGAUAACUAUUGGAAACGAUAGCUAAUACCGCAUAAUAGUAGAUGUUGCAUGACAUUUGCUUAAAAGGUGCAAUUGCAUCACUACCAGAUGGACCUGCGUUGUAUUAGCUAGUUGGUGAGGUAACGGCUCACCAAGGCGACGAUACAUAGCCGACCUGAGAGGGGGGUCGGCCACACUGGGACUGAGACACGGCCCAGACUCCUACGGGAGGCAGCAGUAGGGAAUCUUUGGCAAUGGACGGAAGUCUGACCGAGCAACGCCGCGUGAGUGAAGAAGGUUUUCGGAUCGUAAAGCUCUGUUGUAAGAGAAGAACGAGUGUGAGGGUGGAAAGUUCACACUGUGACGGUACCUUACCAGAAAGGGACGGCUAACUACGUG
RNAcentral lists this ribosomal RNA (495 nucleotides) under uncultured bacterium. Its description in RNAcentral is "partial 16S ribosomal RNA". It matches the Rfam family "Bacterial small subunit ribosomal RNA", at positions 28 to 507 of the family's 1533-position model. The record is from RNAcentral.